RNAcentral lists this long non-coding RNA (4717 nucleotides) under Homo sapiens (human). Its description in RNAcentral is "HSALNT0395169". Lineage: Eukaryota; Metazoa; Chordata; Mammalia; Primates; Hominidae. The record is from RNAcentral.
GCUGGCAGCACGAGGGGCUGCAUAUCCACCCUGUGGACUCCUCCUCACCCUGCCACAGUGCCCUCUGGUCUUCUACAGAAGGACGCCACAGACGUGCAUCUCCCCACUGUCCCUUUGACUGUUUGGGACCAUGCUGUCCAAAAUUUAACACACAAUUGAGCUCUUUUCCUGUCUCCUCAAAUUCUGACUCUGCAUCCUAGAUCUGGCCAGCGUUUCUCUCCCCUGCAGGUAAGGAUGCUCUGGCUGACUAACGUUCUCUUUUCGGAUUCAAUUGGACAUGGUUCUCCAGUGCUUCUUGGCUCUAAUUACGGCGGAAUGUGCCUGUGAGUUGUCCAACAGCUGCCACAUCCUUGUUAAGACAUUAAUGAGAGAAGAUCUUGUGAGAAUUGAAGGAAAAUAGAAAAAAAAUAUUGCAGUUGCAAGAGAAGAAUGAUGCCUGCUCCGUGGGAAUAGUCAAGCCAUGAAAAACCAGCCACCUCAUUUCUUCCCCAGAAGACCAUAAGCACAUGGCAUCUCACUUUGAGGGGCAAAUUCUGAGUUUGGCACUUUAUUUAUAUUUUAUUAAUGUAAACAAUAACAAAACACGUUCAAUCACAAGCACUCUACUCAGCCAGCUUUAUGUCUACCUCUGAAUCGAGGCACUUCUGAGAUGCUUCUCAGUGUUAGGGAAUGCUGGCCUGGAAGGCUUAGGAGCCAACUGGCAAGCUCAUUAGAGGACCAAGAAUUGCAUCAUAAAACAGUGGGACCAAAUGUGUGGGCAGUUAUUUUAAAACAUUAUAAAAACCCACCACUGUGUAUUUUUCUAUGAAUUGUUGACAAAUGUGCUUAGUAAUAGGAUAAGUGAAGAAAAAUGAAUGAAUUAGUUGAGAUUUACUUACAUUUUAACAUUAAUAAUAAAAUACAUGAUGUUAGAUGAAUAAAAUAAUCAAUAUAGACACCUUUAUAUAGACAUCCUUAUCCCAGAACUCUUUGUAAAGGACAUGUAAUGAUCAUAACCAUAACAGCAGCAGCAACUCAACAACAAGAGUGGCCCCACAGGUUCAUGGAGAACGUGGGCCACACAGACACUAUGCUUGACCCAUGAACGCGAUUGCAUUCAACCUCUCCUUAGGAGAGACUUGGCUACCAGAUCACGGAACUGUUAAAGAUGUAGAGGCCCCCUGGAUGGGGUCAACUGGAUGUGUCAUUUUUCUGUUUAAUUUCUAGGAUGGAGUCCUAAUGCCUUUGAAAUAAGACGUAAUUAUGUGAACAUCAUAUAAGAAAUUUAUACCUAUGAUGACGUCUUACUCUAUGUGUCUAAGACAAAAAAAUUAUGUCUGCUCUUAUUCUUCCUACCACAUAGCUCUGUGUUUAUUGCUUCCUGAAAAUUAAUGUUUUUAUUGAUCACUCUUAAAAAAAAAAAAACAGGGUGAGAGGAAACUACUAAGUUGAUUAAACUGGUAACCAGUUCUGCGAUUUCUUCACCAGCCUGCUUUAUCAUGAUGAUAAGACUUUGGUCUUAUUUUCCAAAUAUCUGUAAUGCCUCAAAAUGAACCAAUGAUGUUUUAACCCAAUAACUCAGCUUUUUUUUUCUUAAAGAAUCUUGCUGAGUCACUUUCCUAAUACCAUUCUCCAGUCAUGGAAGUCAGCCAGCUUUGUAAUACUGUCUUACAGAUGCUCUUCAACUUUUAUUGGUCACGAUUUGUUUCCCUAAGAUUUGUAUGCCUUUCAAAUCUUCAAAGUUAGUGAAGCUUUCUUCAGCCAGGAUUCAUCUGUUUAUAGAGCAGAGUGGGUGGCUUUUGGAAAAUACUUGACAUGUUAUAAUAUUGGGCUGAGGAGUCACACGCCACUAUCCAAGUUGUCAUUGAAUGUGCAUUUCCUCUUGGGAAUGGAGUCCUUAAAACUUUGAGUCCUUUACCAAUAGCAAAAAUUAGCAUCCCUUAACAUUUUCACCUGCCUUAACAUUGUGGCCUCUGUUCUGCAGACUUCAGCUAUUAAGUCAGUUUAUUUUUCCCCGACAUUAUAAGCUACACGCUUCCCACUCACUUCUAUCCUGUCUAGCAAACACACUAGUCUUUUCGGUUACUACUUUAAAUCACAAUGAAAACUAUGGUUGUGUAUUCACAUGCAACUAUGGCGUGUGAGUUGAUCCCAUCCUCUGAGCCCAAUCUGUGUGAAGGAAAAUGUUUCUCAUUAGGAAACCACUUCGUUGUGAUCCUUUGGAACCAUUUCUAGCUUGUACAAAUUAUUCAAAAUAGACAUCUUUCCUUUCCCUGGACUCCACCCCGGCCUUGUCUAGCUUUCUGGUGCUUCCAGAAGUUAAACAAGCAGAUGUUAUAAACAAAAACAAACAAACAAACAAAAAGCAAAACAAACAAAAAAAUAAAAAAUAAAAAACAUGAAAGACAAAAACAAAAAGAAAACCACUACCAUGAAUAAAUUUCAUCUUCUGUGCAUUUCUGUUAAAAUUUAUAAAUUUUAUAUUCUCCAUUAAAUCUGUGAAGAUAAUACCCAACUAUGUAAACACAUUGAUAUUCGUGGAUUUUAAAGAAAAUUCUAACAGUACUGACUACUUAAAGUACAGACUUAAAACUGUAAAAUUAUCCUGACACUUGAGGCUAAAGAACAUCUUAGUAAGUGAUUUGCUGUGUCUGUUAACAUUUUGUGAAAAUUUGUAGAUGUGUACACUAUGUUUGGGUUUGAAGCACUUUCUCACCUCUAACUUUUUUCCUUCUUCACCCCCUUAAUCACAGACACAGGAAUGCAGCUGCCCUGUGUGUGUCUCCUUCAUCCUGCUGGGGACAGGCACGGGCAAGGAGAGCUCAGGGGUAACACACGGGCAUAAUUGGGGUCUGAUGAAAUAGGCUAAUCAUGGAUCCACUAAGCAAAUAUUAAUUUUCAUUGGAAGCCCUGCCAUUUUGUGAACUUAUAAGAAAUAAACAGAAGUAUUGUUAGCCUCAGGAUGUAUCUCUUUUCUUUAAGAAAAAAGAAACCCAUUGAUAAAUGUCUCUGAAAGGCUAACUCUCACCACUUCAUGCUCUUCUAAUGCUUCUGCACUGUCCUAUGUGAGGCUUGAGUGAUGUGGGUGUGCCACUGAAGGGCCGUGGGUAGGAGCGGUGUGUUUUCUGAACACCUGUUACACCUUUAUUACCCAGUUCUAUGAAAACAUGUAUAACAUAGAAGCAAAGCACUCAUGCUAAAGAUCGCUUCUGCUGAUCCUUGCUGCCAAGAUCUCCCUUACGGUCCUCAGCGUCUCUUCCCUUGACCAGGUUCUUCCUGUCUUCUUGGGCUGCUUUCUCUGUAUUAUUUUUCUCUUCUUCUUCCAGCUUAUGGAAACCAUUCCUACCACAAUUUUCUCUUCUAAAUUUGGUUUGAUAAAACCAAAUACUUUUCAUUGUUUCACCUGCAGUGAUCUUUUUCUUAGACUUUUGCAUUUUGCAUUCUUUUAGUUUUAGUAUCUGUACUGGCAUUUCUUAUAUAGAGGUCCUGUUCACACCAUGCCCACAUUCUACAGUGGAUUAUACACUUUGAAUAUCAAGCUCCAGCUAUAUGAGGUAGUUUGGGAUUAUUGAAAGGACACCAAGAGGCAGAAUGGCCAUGUAAGUUAUUGUUCAAGUCAGGAUACUUUUGAGAGUUAAAAAAGGCAAGUUAACAACAUCACACCACGGAUGUAACUGGGACAAUUCCAGCCAAGAACUGAGAUGGUCCUUUCUUUCCUCCUCUCCCACCCCAUUCUCCUCCUUGUCCUCCUUCUUCUUCCUCCUCUUCCCCAUCCUCCUCUACUGCCUGUUCAUAGGGGAAAUAUACGUCUGUCUGUCUGUCUAUCUAUCUAUCUAUCUAUCUUUCUAUCUAUUAUCUAUCCAUCUCCCAAAUGCAAACACUGAAUCACUAGUCAAUAAGUCUCAUUAUAAAUGUUUGAUGCUAGCCCAAUGCUGGGCUCACUUUCUAAACUCCUAGGUAAUUCCACAACAGAAAGAAAUAAGAUUUCAGGUAUUAUUUUAUGUUUCUUAUAAUAUUAUCAGUAUAGGAUACUAGUUAAACUGUGGAGACACAGAGACAAAUGGAGACUAGUCUGAAUAACCUGGAGACAGUCCUCUCUCACAGCAAAGUAAAAUCUGGUUUGGUGGUUCUGCUUUGCAAAGUUAUGACGGGCUCAAGCUCUUCCUACCUUUUUGCCUCACUCUCCUGACCUGUUGUCCUCUCCACAUAGCCCCAGAUGACUCACCAUCAUAUCCACAUUCUAGCCAGUGGGAAGGGGAAAUGGAGUUGGUAAAAGCAUGUUCCUCUUUCUCUUGUGCACUGCAACUCUGCACAGUCCAUCUGUUCUUACCCCAUUGGCCAGAAUGCAGUCACCUUGCUUCUACUGGCUGCAAGGAAGGAUGGGGAUUGUAGUUUUUCCCAUGAGAACUCAUAUACCCAGACUAAAAUUGGUAACUGUAUUAUCAAGAGAGAGUGGGAGCAACUUGGGGACAUUGACAGUUUCUGUCACACUUAGCAAUAUGAUGUACUCAUAGAGGGAUACACAAUUCUUGCUGUUGUUGCCUAUUGAUAACUUCACUGUGUAUUUUCUGGUCUUCAGUUUACCAUAUUGUGAUAUAUACUGUGUACAUGUAUAGGGACUUCAUUACUUUCACUCAAAAGCUCCAAUAAAGAAUCAUGCAGUCUAGGUGCAGUGGCUCACACUUGUAAUCCCAACACUUUGGGAGGUCAAGGCAGGAGGAUCGCUUGAGGCCAGGAG